CGGGAGCAUACGGGCCGAUUUCUUUUUAAGACAGACAGGAACAUGGGCAGGAUGUUUAUACUGUCAAAUGUAAACAUUUUCUCUAGCCUUCUUUAAAUAAAAAAUCAAGCAAAAAGCACCACAAGAGCCGCUAAUACCCAUUCUGGGGCUAUGCGUCCGUUUUAUGCGGCGCAAACUAUUUGUGAAUCUUUGUUUUAACAUAAAUGUGGAGAUGAAGCCGUAGACAAUUCUGUCUACUUUCUUUUGAAAAAAAUGCUGCCUCGGACCUGCACUUGCUUUGAGAAACUUUGCUAUAUGAAGACGGCUAAUCGAUCUGGCACAAAGUAAAACUAGUUUGAAGAGUGCAGAGGAGUCUUCGGGGUG
Long non-coding RNA from Ictalurus punctatus (channel catfish), 363 nucleotides. The record is from Ensembl. NCBI's taxonomy places the organism in Eukaryota, Metazoa, Chordata, Actinopteri, Siluriformes, Ictaluridae.